CAUGGUUCCCUGUGCAGCGCCCCGUGGGUCCCAGCAGACACAGCACCAUAAUGGGAGACUUCUAGGCUGAGAGGGCAAAAGCUUCAAACAGCAGGUGGCAGCACCAGCUGUGUGGUGGCCAGGAGAUGGUCUAGCCUCCGCCUUCCUUCCAGAAGUCUCCCCAGCAUCCUCAACCAGGUCAGAUCCCCCAGCAUGACUCAACAUCUCUUCGACUUCCUUUCUGCAGCCCUGGCAGGGGCUGUGUUGCAGCGGUGCCUGUUGCAUGUGGAAGUCUCCCUUCAAGGUUUGCAUCAUGGAACUCACCUGGCCCAACCUCUCAGGGAGGAAAAUUCCAACCAGAGAGGGUGCGUGUCCUGUCCCCGGCCUGGCUGCCAAUACUUGAGCACCCUCCUCAGAGAAGCCUCCCCGGAUUGCCCUCUGCCCAGCCCAGCCCAGCCCAGCCCUCCACUGCCCGCUCUGCGUCCUCUGGAACAGCGUGUGUUCAGUACUGCAGGGAUGUGAGCCCCAUGCAGGCAGGGAUUCGGCCUUGUUGUACCAGUGUCUGGGACAGUGCCUGGCACACCGUAGGUGCUCCAUAAACAUUUGUGGGAUGUACAAAUAAAUGAAGGUUAUUGAAUUCAAGCUCCUCUGUUACCCACCAAGUGAUCCUUGGAGCAGCAGUGCUUGCACUCCUCCAGCAACGGGGAACAUUCUACUCACCUCCCGUGGCAGCAGGCUCUUUUUCUCUCUGUC
This is a long non-coding RNA of Pan troglodytes (chimpanzee), 732 nucleotides long. RefSeq lists it as uncharacterized. NCBI's taxonomy places the organism in Eukaryota, Metazoa, Chordata, Mammalia, Primates, Hominidae. The transcript is spliced from 3 exons. The record is from RefSeq and is a predicted model, not a curated record.